RNAcentral lists this ribosomal RNA (253 nucleotides) under uncultured bacterium. RNAcentral describes it as "partial 16S ribosomal RNA". It matches the Rfam family "Bacterial small subunit ribosomal RNA", at positions 524 to 776 of the family's 1533-position model. The record is from RNAcentral.
UACAGAGGGGGCAAGCGUUGUUCGGAAUUACUGGGCGUAAAGGGCUCGUAGGUGGCCAACUAAGUCAGACGUGAAAUCCCUCAGCUUAACUGGGGAACUGCGUCUGAUACUGGAUGGCUUGAGUUUGGGAGAGGGACGCGGAAUUCCAGGUGUAGCAGUGAAAUGCGUAGAUAUCUGGAGGAACACCGGUGGCGAAGGCGGCGUCCUGGACCAACACUGACACUGAUGAGCGAAAGCCAGGGGAGCAAACGGG